CAUAUACCUACCUUGUUACAUUUUAUGUCAAACGAAGUACUUAAUAAGUUGACAUAUUGUGCUACCCAUUCUUUGGAAUUUAGUUAAUAUAAAAACUAUUUUUUCGGAAUUAUUAAGAUGUUAUUACUGGAAAUGAACAGACCAGCUUACGGUCCACUUGGUAUUUAGUGGUUACCGGAGCCCAUUGAUAUCACAACGUGAACAAUGUCAGCAACCUUGAGUUUUGAGGUCAAAUUUUCAAAUGUCUUUUGUAUAACGACUAUACCACCAUUCAAGCCGGAAAGCAUAACUAACAAAUAUACGACCAAUUAUAAAUUACCACAUAUUUGAAGAAUAUUUAAACUUACAUAGGUAAUGAAGAGGAUAAUGACAUACUGUAUCCAAAGAUAAUUUUAUUACAGAGUAGAAAACUAUGUGGUGUGAUUUCGCGUGAUGCGUGACAAGUAUAAACAACUUCCUACUUUUCACGCUGACAUCCGAAACACUUCAACUGCAAAAUCACCUAAACUGGGUGACGACAAAAAAAUGAUUUAGUACCAGCAGCAGUGUAUUUACAUCGCUAAACAUUCCUACUACACUGCUACUAAAGAUGUCUUGAAUAAACAGAAGCUUAGUUUUUCAUAUCACUUUUUAGCCAUUUCUAAAAUGUCUACAAAAUACCAUAAAAAUUGCACGAAAGACCCAAAUGAACUCGAAGAUCCAACCCGAAAACAACCCGAUGAACAACUAACCCGAAAAUUGAAGCCAUUAACUACAAAACCUCUAUGCGAUUGCAGCAAUUGCACCUGUAAAGAUUGUCCAGAUGUGUUAAAAACCUUUUCUAUUAAUGUUACUGAAGAUUCCUGCGAUUUUGGUACAAAAAAAGUUGAGCAAAUUGACGAGAGCUCACAUGAAGUGUCCAUAAAAGACUGCCAAAGUUUGCUAGACGUGUUAAAUAACACCCGAAACUGUACAUGUGAAAUAAUUGCCAAAGUAGUACGAUCAAAUGUUUAUAUACACAGGGGAAAACAUAAAGUUUCUGAUAUCAUAGAUGAAACCAACGUAGCAAACGUAUCGAUUAAACCAGAGGAAUAAAAUUCAAAAUACACUGAAGCAAUUUUUAUUUGAAUUAACAAAUACAUACAAUAAGUCAAAGAAAAAAAACAUUCAAUUUUUUAAAAGUGAAACUAAUGUUAUUAUUAUUUUCGUUAUGACGUUUCUCCAUAUUUAUUUAUGAUUACAAAUAUAAUAAAAUAACGAAUUAUUCAUCAAUUAUUA
This is a long non-coding RNA of Bombyx mori (domestic silkworm), 1257 nucleotides long. RefSeq lists it as uncharacterized. The transcript has 2 exons. NCBI's taxonomy places the organism in Eukaryota, Metazoa, Arthropoda, Insecta, Lepidoptera, Bombycidae. The record is from RefSeq and is a predicted model, not a curated record.